This 490-nucleotide ribosomal RNA is filed under the name uncultured bacterium. RNAcentral's name for it is "partial 16S ribosomal RNA". It matches the Rfam family "Bacterial small subunit ribosomal RNA", at positions 28 to 507 of the family's 1533-position model. The record is from RNAcentral.
GAUGAACGCUAGCGAUAGGCUUAACACAUGCAAGUCGAGGGGCAGCAUGGUCUUAGCUUGCUAAGGCUGAUGGCGACCGGCGCACGGGUGCGUAACGCGUAUGCAACUUGCCUCACAGAGGGGGAUAACCCGUCGAAAGACGGACUAAUACCGCGUACACUCUAUGUUGGGCAUCCAAUGUAGAGGAAAUGAAAUUCGCUGUGAGAUAGGCAUGCGUCCCAUUAGCUAGUUGGUGAGGUAACGGCUCACCAAGGCGACGAUGGGUAGGGGAACUGAGAGGUUGAACCCCCACACUGGUACUGAGACACGGACCAGACUCCUACGGGAGGCAGCAGUGAGGAAUAUUGGUCAAUGGGCGAGAGCCUGAACCAGCCAAGUCGCGUGAAGGAUGACUGUCUUAUGGAUUGUAAACUUCUUUUAUACGGGAAAUACAAGAGUCACGUGUGGCUCCCUGCAUGUACCGUAUGAAUAAGCAUCGGCUAACUCCGUG